RNAcentral lists this ribosomal RNA (467 nucleotides) under uncultured bacterium. RNAcentral's name for it is "bacterial SSU rRNA". It matches the Rfam family "Bacterial small subunit ribosomal RNA", at positions 329 to 794 of the family's 1533-position model. The record is from RNAcentral.
UGCCAGACUCCUACGGGAGGCAGCAGUGAGGAAUAUUGGUCAAUGGGCGUAAGCCUGAACCAGCCAAGUCGCGUGAGGGAUGAAGGAUCUAUGGUUCGUAAACCUCUUUUAUAAGGGAAUAAAGUGCGGGACGUGUCCUGUUUUGUAUGUACCUUAUGAAUAAGGAUCGGCUAACUCCGUGCCAGCAGCCGCGGUAAUACGGAGGAUCCGAGCGUUAUCCGGAUUUAUUGGGUUUAAAGGGUGCGCAGGCGGAGGUGCAAGUCAGCGGUCAAAUUGCGGGGCUCAACCCCGUACUGCCGUUGAAACUGCAUCCCUUGAGUGCGCGAGAAGUAUGCGGAAUGCGUGGUGUAGCGGUGAAAUGCAUAGAUAUCACGCAGAACUCCGAUUGCGAAGGCAGCAUACCGGCGCCCAACUGACGCUGAAGCACGAAACCGUGGGUAUCGAACAGGAUUAGAUACCCGCGUAUA